GAUGAACGCUGGCGGCGUGCCUAAUACAUGCAAGUCGAGCGAACAGAUAAGGAGCUUGCUCCCUUGACGUUAGCGGCGGACGGGUGAGUAACACGUGGGUAACCUACCUAUAAGACUGGAAUAACUCCGGGAAACCGGGGCUAAUGCCGGAUAACAUUUAGAACCGCAUGGUUCUAAAGUGAAAGAUGGUUUUGCUAUCACUUAUAGAUGGACCCGCGCCGUAUUAGCUAGUUGGUAAGGUAACGGCUUACCAAGGCAACGAUACGUAGCCGACCUGAGAGGGUGAUCGGCCACACUGGAACUGAGACACGGUCCAGACUCCUACGGGAGGCAGCAGUAGGGAAUCUUCCGCAAUGGGCGAAAGCCUGACGGAGCAACGCCGCGUGAGUGAUGAAGGUCUUCGGAUCGUAAAACUCUGUUAUUAGGGAAGAACAAAUGUGUAAGUAACUGUGCACGUCUUGACGGUACCUAAUCAGAAAGCCACGGCUAACUACGUG
Molecule: ribosomal RNA, 497 nt
Filed under: uncultured bacterium
Lineage: Bacteria
Description: partial 16S ribosomal RNA
Rfam family: Bacterial small subunit ribosomal RNA
Source: RNAcentral